GACGAACGCUGGCGGCGUGCUUAACACAUGCAAGUCGAACGGAAAGGCCCUGCUUUUGUGGGGUGCUCGAGUGGCGAACGGGUGAGUAACACGUGAGUAACCUGCCCUUGACUUUGGGAUAACUUCAGGAAACUGGGGCUAAUACCGGAUAGGAGCUCCUGCUGCAUGGUGGGGGUUGGAAAGUUUCGGCGGUUGGGGAUGGACUCGCGGCUUAUCAGCUUGUUGGUGGGGUAGUGGCUUACCAAGGCUUUGACGGGUAGCCGGCCUGAGAGGGUGACCGGCCACAUUGGGACUGAGAUACGGCCCAGAGUCCUACGGGAGGCAGCAGCGGGGAAUAUUGCACAAGGGGCGGAAGCCUGAUGCAGCAACGCCGGGUGCGGGAUGACGGCCUUCGGGUUGUAAACCGCUUUCGCCUGUGACGAAGCGUGAGUGACGGUAAUGGGUAAAGAAGCACCGGCUACUUACGU
RNAcentral lists this ribosomal RNA (467 nucleotides) under uncultured bacterium. RNAcentral's name for it is "partial 16S ribosomal RNA". It matches the Rfam family "Bacterial small subunit ribosomal RNA", at positions 28 to 506 of the family's 1533-position model. The record is from RNAcentral.